ACAAAAUCCAUCCCAGAUAAAAGCCAAGCAAUAUCUCAGUUAAUACCAGCCAACUAAGGAAGUGAAACCUAUAGGACGGCCUCACAUCUCAUUCUCUUCAGAUCUUCCUCUGUCACAAGCAUUCAUUAACAUUGUUCAAUAAUCUGGAGCUCCCAUUUCCUCCUGAGACUCUAAUUAGCAUCUCUCUUCAUUGCAGGUGGUGAUGACUUAGAAGGGAAGAACAAGGGAGAGCACAACAGGAUCCACAUAGCGGAGAAGUCAUGUAAAUAUUCAGAGUGUGGAGAGAACAUCCGUCAGAGCUCCCAGUCCAACUCCCAUCAAAGAAAGAGCUUCAUUCGAAGGAAUAGCCUCACUUCACACGAAAUAACACAGAGUAGGGAGAAAUCGUAUCAGUGCUUGGAGUGUGGAAAGAGCUUCAGCCAGAGGGCCCAUCUCACUUCUCAUCAAAUAAUUCAUACAGGGGAGAAGCCCUAUCAGUGCUUGGAAUGUGGAAAGAGCUUCAAUCGAAAGAAUAAUUUCACUGUGCAUCAAAGAAUUCAUACAGGGGAAACCAUAUCAGUGCUUGGAAUGUGGAAAGAGCUUUCGUGUGAGUGGUGAACUCACUUCCCACCAAAGAAUUCAUACAGGGAGAAACCCUAUCAGUGCUUCGAAUGUGGGAAGAGCUUUCGUGUGAGUGGUGA
Molecule: long non-coding RNA, 680 nt
Filed under: Podarcis lilfordi (Lilford's wall lizard)
Lineage: Eukaryota; Metazoa; Chordata; Lepidosauria; Squamata; Lacertidae
Source: RNAcentral